GUCCCUUCGGGGACAUCCGAUAAAAUUGGAACGAUACAGAGAAGAUUAGCAUGGCCCCUGCGCAAGGAUGACACCGCACAAAUCGAGAAAUAAAUUUAAAUUUU
Small nuclear RNA from Ipomoea triloba (trilobed morning glory), 104 nucleotides. NCBI's taxonomy places the organism in Eukaryota, Viridiplantae, Streptophyta, Magnoliopsida, Solanales, Convolvulaceae. The record is from RefSeq and is a predicted model, not a curated record.